UACAGAGGGUGCGAGCGUUUAAUCGGAAUUACUGGGCGUAAAGCGUGCGUAGACGGCUAUCUAAGUCGGGUGUGAAAGCCCCGGGCUCAACCUGGGAAUUGCAUUCGAGACUGAAUAGCUAGGGUACGGUAGAGGGAAGUGGAAUUUCCGGUGUAGCGGUGAAAUGCGCAGAUAUCAGGAGGAACACCAAUGGCGAAGGCAGCUCGCUGGGACGGUACUGACGCUGAGACGCGAAAGCGUGGGGAGCAAACAGG
This 254-nucleotide ribosomal RNA is filed under the name uncultured bacterium. RNAcentral describes it as "partial 16S ribosomal RNA". It matches the Rfam family "Bacterial small subunit ribosomal RNA", at positions 524 to 776 of the family's 1533-position model. The record is from RNAcentral.